UGAAAGGCUAAUGGCGGACGCCGGCGGGUUGGCAGUGGUGGUGGCUUAGGCCUUGAAGGGAUUCAGCAUCCGUCGGGUAUCGAAGCCAUCCUUCUUGCAGCAGGGUAAAGAAGUGGCCUCACAGUUUCUCUGUAGCGGAGGAAGUGGAGAGCGAUCACAGGAGAGAGCUGCCCGGCACUUUGGCGGGAGCCACAGAAGCAGUUUUAGGCCCGAGUGGUUCGCCUGCUUUGACUUGGAACUGUUGCCAUAACCAAGACGUGACUGAGUGUCACAGCUUUGCUUGUCAUCAUGUUUCUGUACAACUUGACCUUACAGCGGGCCACUGGCAUCAGCUUUGCCAUCCAUGGCAACUUCUCUG
This 358-nucleotide long non-coding RNA is filed under the name Rattus norvegicus (Norway rat). Its description in RNAcentral is "long non-coding RNA NONRATT014285". The record is from RNAcentral. Lineage: Eukaryota; Metazoa; Chordata; Mammalia; Rodentia; Muridae.